UCUUAUCUUAUGUACACGUUUUUAUUAUAAGGAACACAAGAUAGAGGAAAUUUGGAAAUAUAAUGACAGUCUUGCACCAAAAAGUGAAAUCCCACUAAGUUGUCUUUAUGUGCUGCAGCAGACAGGCUGUUAAAAAACUGGCAUCCCUGUUCAACUUUGUCAUGAUUUAAUAUUUAAAAACAAAACAGUUGGAAAAGUUCCUGUCCCUCUAAGGAGACAAUUAUCUUAACGCCACGGAAGAACACAGAAACAUGACUAAAGACAUGUCUGUCAUGGGUUUUCAUGAUCAAGGCUGGAAGUCUGAAAAGAUUCACUUUUCUAAUGUACAGCAUCUUAUGAGAGCAUCUUUCCACUGAGCUUUGCUGCAGUUUGUUGUCCAUUACUAACAGGAGGAAAUAUCCACUUAAAGGGACAACAUGGAUAAAAAAUGCAGAACUCGGUGGAUCUGACCCUUUUUUAACCCUCAAACAGGAUUGUGUUGUAUGUAACAAGCGUUUAUGUUUCUCUUUACAGACACUUCUGUACACUCCACUCUGCUGUGUGUUUCUGACCUUGGGCAGAGCUUGUCUUUACAGUGCCUAGCUGCCAGCAGCUGGUCGGGGUGGAUGUCUCGGAUGUCAGCGCUGACUGAUGGGCAGCUCUUAGUGAAACCCCCGCGGGGCCUCUCAGUGCUGCUCACACCCCGAGAGAUGCACACAAGACUGAUGGAAAGUCGGAGGUAUGCCUAUCGACCUGUCUGCCAUCUACACACUCUGAACCUCCCACUGCCCCGCCCUCCACUACAGAGCCAUUGUAUGUUUGUGUCAAUGUGAGUGUGCAGAGCCUUCUCUAAGUGUACCACCUACACUACUUUCUUACUUUGUCUGGCUGUCUGUGUUAUUUUCAAUGAGUGGGUAGAGUCUUUCUGAGCAAGAGUCAUCGGAAAACUGCAGUUCCUUGUUCUGUGUCCACUUGGGGGCUAUCUCCAAAAGCUAAAAAAAUGCCAAUAACAGCUCAUACUAGAAUCAUUUUACAGUAGAGUCAGCUGGAUUUACUCAUGACUACUGAUUGCAUUUAAACCUGAAGCGGGGGUUAGUUUGACUGACCAAUGGGCGCAAUAUGUCUGGUGACUGAAAUAUGGCCUCAGCUUAGAAAUGAGGACUUGAGUUUGACUCUUGAACUUGAGUUGCACUUUACUCAUAGAUAACUUUCUCUUGUAUUUUUGUCUUAAUAUUACUAGAGCUCAAUCACAUACCCUCUUAAUUAUAAUCUUCCUUCUGGUGCACUUCCAGCCUCUUCAUCUGCUGCUACCAAAGCACAGUAUUUCUCACACAUAGUAUGCAACUAAGAAGGGUGAUUAAGUAUGUACUGACUGUUUUUACUCAUUUUUCAUCCACAUAAGAGUGAUCCAAGCGGGAAAGAGAGAGAGACACAGUUGAUCCCAAAAGAAAAGAUAUACCUUCUCAGACCGCUGUUUUAAAAGUUUUGUACUGCUGGUCGCUGUUGCUCUUAGUUUUGAAUUGCUAUCACAACAGAGCCCAUACACUGAUUAUCUACUGGAAUAAUGAAACAUUCAUGAGUUGUGUUCAAAAGUUUGUGAUCCAGCUGAUGAGUUUUUCUAAAAGAUUGGAAAUAAAAAGACAAAAAGGCACAAGAAGUCAUGGUGCUGCUAAAAAAGGAGAGCUUUGAGUGUCAGGGGCAGAUUUAGGGCUUACUCGGGAUCCGGAGUACGCCAAUUCCUACCGGAUCUGUUUGUGAGACGAAUUUCUUGGCAGCGGGCAUCGCAAGAACUUACAAGAACCUGCGGAUUCACGUGCAAUCGCGCGAUAACAAAUUGUCUUUAGCCACAGAGGCUAACCAUAGAAGCAGUAGAUUGUCCUUCCAGAAGAGGAAAUCUACUUCUAAACUUCUAAAAUUAGCAUGUCCUCAUCCAUGGUGUCAUCGGGAUGAAAUGCUGUCUAUAAACCUUUCACUUGUUGGUCCCCGCCCAUUUGCAUGGUGUGAAAUACGAUCUGCCUGAAACACAGAGUGUUUUGUUUUGAAAAGAAGACAGAUAUUUUAUUUUGUGUCUGUGCCCGACUUCCUUUCCAGCACAGGUUAAUCUGUGCUGAAUUUAUCCGACAUGCUCCAGUGUCCAGAAAAAAAUAGAACUCUUGCGAUCAGCUGGGGAGUCCGGCGAUUUGCAGUGGAACCGAAAGAAGCCAGUGGAAAUUGACACAUUAACUUGAAUUGUUACAAUCAGCUGCAAUCGGCGGAUAUGGCCUUUUCGUAGCCGUUACGGAUGCAGUGGAAAUUGCUGGUUAGUCUGGGGUGCCUCAGCCCCAGGGGUGCCCUUGGGUUCGGGUUAUUUUUGACUAUGUUGUUGUUUCUUGACAGUAUAAAAGAUUUGACUGGGACUUCCUGGUGCACUCAGAGACUGAGAAUUAACUUGGACUUGUGGCGAAAGACUUGAGACUUUACCUCUGUCCAUCAUCCAUCCAUCUGUCCAGCUGAACUCUACAUGGUUGACUCUUGAGAGUAGCUGAGGGGUGAGGCCUCUACACACUUGGCCAUCCGAAAGCAUAAGUUAUUGCCCAUAUUUUUCAUGAUUUCAACCUUGAUUUAUGUUCUUUGGUUGUUCUAAUCGUUCAAAUUUGGCUGAGUAGUUAAUGAAGUGUUUGUUUUGUAGCGUGACAACCUCAGAAGUCAUUUAUUUUCCCACUUUACACAGUCUUUAAUGAUGCAGCCAGUGUUUUUGUAGGUCAGUUUAGACCUCAGAUUUACAACCAAAGGAGUUAAAAGUUGUAACUACUUGAUACGUGCCGCUCUGACAUCUGCCAGUUUGCACCUGUCCGACCAGAUGAGAUGAUGUCUACUUUCUGUCUGUGGUGGAUGUAGCCUAAGGCAUAGAGCUGGAGGUCUGGAGUGUUUUUUUUUUUUUCUCUCUCUCUUUUUCUUUGACUAAAAGAUGGCUGAGCUGCACACCAUCACACACAUACACUGCACCACAGCCAGAGAGGCAGGAUCAAGCAGAAACAUCAAGUUUCAAACUGAAUCCUGAACCUUUCUGCUGGGUUUUUUGCAGAUAUGAUAUUGUUAAAAAAGUGCUGGAAAACAUUCACAAUAUGGAUUAAAAAAAAGUUUGAUUCCUCUGCUCUCCAUAUGCCAGGCCUAAUUUGCCUGACCAAUGGUUCAGCUCCACCAGUGUUUGGUCAACAAAUACAACACCGCGCCAUCGCUGCACUAAUUAACCAGAAAACUUUGAAUUCAGACACAUGCUACCUUUCAGAUCAGAAGAAAGUUUGGAUUUGACUCCACCUGCUGUUUUCACCUUAACAUGAUUGGCUUUAAAAAAACAAGUGCGGUCUCAUUCACAGCAGGCCAAUGGCAGCUUCUUGAGCUGGGCUGUGGCCAACUCUGAAAUCCACAGUUGGUUGAGACGUGCAGGUCAGUUUAUGCAAACAACACGCAAAUGAAGAGAUGAGCUGACAAAUGCAGCUCAUUACUGAGUAAUUUAGAUUGCUGCAAAAGCAUAUGGUUGCUCUGACAUAAUAGGAUCUAAAAGACAAUGACAGCACCGAGGUGGAUUUCUGGCCAGGUUUGGCCUCUGGCGCCCUGGGACUGAUACUGCUUAAUAGACUCUGAGACUGUUUUGUUAUGAUGUCAAGCUCAGAAUGAAAAACUAUGGUGUUCUGGGUUGUAAGUCCUGUAUUUCACGGCUUCCUGAUUAAUAAUCAGCCAGACAGACUAUAGAUAAAGAUGAUCAGGAGAUAGAUCAGGUUAUUCUUUGGGCUAAAAUACACAGUUGAUAACUCAAUGAGCUGAGGAUUAAAAUUGUGAUAAAUUUUCUUGAGGCAUUGUAUAAGAGAUAGAAUUGGGUAAUUAUCAGCGCGGCUACUCCCAAGUUAGAAAUUAAUGGUUCAGGGGUUAACUGUGAUUGAAAAAAGUCGGUUUGACAGUCCUAAGGUUGACUUGAGUUUGUUUUGAUCAGGGAGGUUGUGUAAAUAAGUGUCAUUAACAGAUUCCUGAAGUUAGUGACUCAAAUAGUCAUGUUGAUAAUAAUGAUUAUAAUAGGUAGAGCUGUGUGUCAUCUGCAUAAGAGUGGAAGUUUAGACCAUGUUGCUGGAUGAUCUGACAUAGGGGAAGCAUGUAGAUACUGAAGAGGAGGGGUCCAAGUACAGAGCCUUGAGGGACACCGUGCUGAUUGUUAAUUGCACGAUCUGAUAUUCUGUAUUGGCCUUUAUUGGAUUAUUGAAAAUCACAUUAACAAUAUUCCGAUUUGUUCAGUGUAUGUUUACAGUAUAAUCUGGUUUCUUCUGUUUUAUUCAAUCUCCACAAAACAUGACAAGCAGCAAAGGGGAGGAGGGUUUGAAAGAAGGUUCUUGCCAAGUCAAAGGAUCUGAAUCACCAAAAGGAGUCGCUGACAUUAGCAAAAGCCAAUGGCAAAGCUUAUCUUGGUAAGUAUCAUAGUCAACUAAAAUAAAACCCAAAGAUAAAAAAAAGACAGGUGAUUAACUCACAGCAUCGAGGCCAUUAAUGCAGCCAAAGUACGACAAUCUGGUAUCAUCAGUAAAUGCACUUAUCUAAUAUCAUAGUUUAUAUGCCUCUUUAAACUAAACUUGCUUCGAGUAAACUCCGUGAUAAAAUCCUUAAAGUUAUAGUUCCUGUGAAACUUCUGAGAGAACUUAAUGUUCUUGUUCUUAUAAGAAGAGACUUCCUCUGACAUUCUCCGCUCGUCUCCGGAGACUAUCAGUGUCCAGCGUCUGUCGGCAGAAAGAUAACACUCUGCGGCUGUUCUGGUUUGGUAAAGGCUGCUGAUGCAUCACUUCAUGUUCCCUGCUUGUCUGUGAAUUAUACAUUAAUGGAUGAGGUGGCUAUUAUCUUCAUGCAUGUCUGAUCUCUGAUACUCAGAAAAAAAUCACACAACAAAAUGCUCCGCCUGUUUGUCUAUCACACACCCACCUCUAACCUUUUCACCUCCCCAAAAAUCUCUCCUUGUUCCUAAUCCAGGAGCCCGGUGUUACUCCUGUUCAUAUGCAGCUAAAUUUAAAUCUAAACUCUUUCUGUUUCUGCCUGUGCCUCUGCCGCUUCCUCAUCCUCUUAUCCCACAUCACCUCCCCUCUUAGCUCAAGAAUCAUCUCCGGCAACUUGUAACUCUUCCAGAAACCCCGCUGAGCCACUCCCCGGGCUACAUGCAUAAAAGUCUGUGUAGAUUCAAGACGAAAGACUGUGUGGGAACAAGAGGCAGAAACAUAAAUACUGACUCUGUUUUGUGAAGUUAAUAAAGUACACAUGCUUCUGUUUUAUCAGUCUCAGUUAUAUUAAAACUGGCUGCAGUUGAAAGGCUCAUCCAGUCAGCUAUAAAUAAAGGGAAAAAAAGUGACAAGGGCCAAAUUUCAGAAUAUAUUUUUCAAUUUUUCAUACCGAGUUUUAUUUUAUAUCCAACCAUAACCAAGAAAUACUUUAUAUCAUAUCUUAAGAACAAAAUGUGUGACAGAGGGUGAUGUCUACUCCAAUGGUAUGAUGUUUAGAAGUUACCAUGAAACAGAUUGUUCCAAUCCAUCCCACUCAGAAGAAAUGUUCAUUCUCUCCCACAGGGUUGGUUAAUGUUUUGUUGUUGGCUGAUCCAACAGUUUCUUCUUGGUUGGUGUAAAGCUUUUUUAUCUUUGCAUGUCCAUUUCAUGUGACGUGAUGGGGUUUCCACCUCUGGUGUUGCUGGAGCGAAGCCAAACCAGCCUGUAGGUGACAUAAAUUUUUCACUGGAAACCGUAAAGAAACUCAAAUGUCUUGAUCAUAAAGACACAAGCAAAACAACACAUCUCUGGGGCAAGCAGAUGAGAACUACAUUUGUAGCACAUUAUUUAUGAUGACACAGUGACAUUAGUUUUUAACAUAUUUAAGCACCUUUACUUCAGUCUCCAUCCUCUUUCUGUCUGAGUCAUUGACUUUGAAUCAUCAUGCCCUUUACAAUCACUAAUAUAGUCUUUUCUUGGAGUCCCUUAGCGCCAUCUUGACGUAGGUUCUUCUACACUGCUGCUGUGUACAUUUUGCUACCGUGGACCUGCCUGCUCUCCAGCUACAUCUACCUCUACUCUGUCCAUCUUUCUCUCUCUCUCUCUCUCUCUCUCUCUCUCUCUCUCUCUCUCUCCCCUCUUUAUACUCAGCUCAGUCUCAGCAGAUGACUGUCUAACAUGGGUCUGGUUCUGUCUGUUAAAGGAAGUUCUUCCUUUCUACUGUAAAGUGUUUCACUCAUGUGGUUGAAAAUAGGAUGGGAGUAGGUCUAAUCCAAUCUUUACCUUGGUUUUUUGUACAUAGAUUAUUGGCUCUUGGGAUAACACUUGUGAAUUGGCGCUUUAAAAAUAAAGAUUGAUUUGACUGGCGGAACAACUUUACAUAUGCCAUAAUGGUUCAUCUGAUCAAUCAAUCGAUCAAUCAAUCAAAUUUUAUCUAUAUAGCACCAAUUCACAACUGUCGUGAGCAGGUCUAGACCACGCUUAUUGUUUGAUGAAUUAUCAAGACCCAACCUAAGAUGGGAUUUGGCCCAUCUCAUCUAACAUGAGUAACAGUGGCAAGAAAAAACUUCCUUUUAACAGGCAGAAACCUUGAGCAGGACCAGACUCAUGCCAGACAGCCACCAGGGAGGGUCAUAUUUAUGAAAUCUUUAUCAAUCCUUUGAACAAGAUUUCGUCUUCUCUAGAUUUUACAUGUAUGAUAUCAGUCCCUAGUUUGACACACUUGCACAAAGAUUCCUGUGAUAGCUCUUAUAGCUUGUUGAAGGGUGGAGUCAUUAAACCAUGAAACAGGAAGUUGAUUUAAUUCCUUCGUAUAUUAUUCCAUCGACUUCAAAUUUGAUAUAAUCAGGUUCAACCCUGUACACAGGUUAAUGCUAACUUCUUGACUCGUAAUAGCUCAGCCAGUCUCCUCCUCAGCGUAUCUACAUAUAUAUUUUAGUCGUGGUCAUGAUGCCAGUUAUAGGUCCAUCUUAUAUGGAUCCAUAUUUCCUUCACAUUAGCUUGCUUUCACACAUCCUGACAGUCUUUUGAAGAUGUCUCUAUCUACAUUCGAUCUGUGGGUUCAGUGUAAUCAAACAGACAUGAAUAUACACACAGAAACAAGGUAGAGAGACCCCAAAGUGUUGUUUGUUUCAGGCUGUAAACAUUCGUAUUUCUCCUGUAAAAAUGGACAUUUUCACUUCAGCUCCACAGGGAUCCCAGUGGAUUCAAGUGAACACUCAGCGUGGACUCAAGUCAGCCCCCGGGUCUGGCCAGUUUCCUGCAGCAACCUCAACUGUCUUUUUUGGAUGCAAUAUAUUUUUUAACUCCCUCUGGACAUCUUAGGAUUGCUUCCUAUCUCCAACGCCUGGCCUGGCCACCUGCAAAGGAAGCUGGCUUUCAAGCAUGCCUACACAAUCCCAUUCUCCCUUAAAAUCUGACAAACAUGUAUGUAAAACAGAAGAAGCAUACAAACCCUGAUACUUAAAUGAAUGACUUGGAAAAUGUGUACUGCUGACAUAUCUACUGUAUUGUAGUGUUAUGAAUGCUUUCUGCAUGGCCUCUAUGUGUGUGUGUGUAUUUACACCUCUACCCUCUGGUGCAUUUUCAAAAUCAGGAUUCAACGUUCCCCUCUCCUGUGUGUACCUCUCCUGCUAUCUCCCUUCUUCAAUCUGUACCCGAGGGGGAGCAUGUGAUGUAAGAGGAGCACAGCCAGAAUACUGAUAUGUGUGGUAGAAAACCUUAGUGUGACAACCCAUAAUACCUCUCCCUUAUUUGUAAUAACGAAACAUCUUGGCAGACAGUGACAGCAGAUGAUGAUGAUGCACAAAGCUGAAAUUGCUGUUAAAGUAUAAUGAGAUGCAUAAAGUGUCCCAAGAGUUAUAGAUUAUAAAUGUGUGUUAUCUAUUGCAGUAUGGUGCAGUAACAUUGAGAUAUUUUAUCAUGGGGUUAGGACUCAAAGAAGCAAGUGACUGUUUUUAUAUCAUGUCUAAUAGACUUUGAGUGUUGCAGCAGGCCGAGGGUCACAUCACGGACAUAGAGGCAGUAUAAUACAGAUCACAGGAUUAAUAAAACUGUGCUGUUAUAAGUGAGUUAACUUUGCCAUAAAUUCAACAUUAUCUCUUUUGAAGCCUGUAACCUCAUCCUCACAAACUGGACCUAAAGGUACUAUAAGGAGUUUUUAACUGGUUGUCUGAGCAGUCAUUCACUAGGAUUGAAAAAUUUCACGGUCCAAAUCCACUUUUAAAAACAAAAGUUUACAAAGUGCUUUGACAACAGUUGCAAAGCACAGAACAUCAGUAUAAAAUCAAAUAACCAAAGCUCAGUUAAAAACAAGGCCACCCAAUUAAAGGCCAAUUUCAUUUCACAUAAGAAACCCAGUGUGGUGAGACGCCUCCUCCAUCUUGUUUUAUUUUGGCUGGACUUCCUGUGUUUGCCUGGUUUGGCUUUACUCUUUUUCAGGGCUUCCUCCCCUCCCCCGACGCUGAGGCUGAGUGAGACUACACACCUGCUCCACAUCUCCAAUCAAGGCACUUUAAGAAGCCUGCAGCCCUCAGCCUCAUUGCUGAGUAUUGUCUACCCUUCCUAGCGGUAAAGACGCGUCUCCUGGCCAACCUCGUUUGUAUCAGUAUCAGAACUUUGCUCCUCAUGACUCUUUUCAUGUUCAAUAACUCCCAUCUCCUCUGGUUUUUCCUGCAGUCAGCCUACCGGACAUCCUCGUUUGCAUUUACAACCCUUUUGUUGGACAUUAAAAGUCUCUUUAAGUUGAUCUCAGUUUCAGUGUCUGCUUCUGGGUCCUCACCACGAACCAGCCACACUACACCCAGGCAAUACAAG
This 8786-nucleotide long non-coding RNA is filed under the name Xyrichtys novacula (pearly razorfish). The record is from RNAcentral. Lineage: Eukaryota; Metazoa; Chordata; Actinopteri; Labriformes; Labridae.